AUUGAACGCUGGCGGCAGGCCUAACACAUGCAAGUCGAGCGGAUGACGGGAGCUUGCUCCUUCAUUCAGCGGCGGACGGGUGAGUAAUGCCUAGGACUCUGCCUGGUAGUGGGGGACCACGUUUCGAAAGGAACGCUAAUCCCGCAUGCGUCCUGCGGGAGAAAGCAGGGGACCUUCGGGCCUGGCGCUAACAGAUGAGCCUGGGUCGGAUUAGCUUGUUGGUGAGGUAAUGGCUCACCAAGGCGACGAUCCGUAACAGGUCUGAGAGGAUGAUCAGUCACACUGGAACUGAGACACGGUCCAGACUCCUACGGGAGGCAGCAGUGGGGAAUAUUGGACAAUGGGCGAAAGCCUGAUCCAGCCAUGCCGCGUGUGUGAAGAAGGUCUUCGGAUUGUAAAGCACUUUAAGUUGGGAGGAAGGGUUGUAGAUUAAUACUCUGCAAUUUUGACGUUACCGACAGAAUAAGCACCGGCUAACUCUGUGCCAGCCGCCGCCGUAA
Molecule: ribosomal RNA, 500 nt
Filed under: uncultured bacterium
Lineage: Bacteria
Description: partial 16S ribosomal RNA
Rfam family: Bacterial small subunit ribosomal RNA
Source: RNAcentral